This is a long non-coding RNA of Oncorhynchus tshawytscha (Chinook salmon), 806 nucleotides long. Lineage: Eukaryota; Metazoa; Chordata; Actinopteri; Salmoniformes; Salmonidae. The record is from Ensembl.
UCCAUUAUCUCUUCUACAUACUCUAUAUCUGGUCCAUUAUCUCUUCUGCAUACUCUAUAUCUGGUCCAUUAUCUCUUCUACAUAAUAUAUAUCUGGUCCAUUAUCUCUUCUACAUAAUAUAUAUCUGGUCCAUUAUCUCUUCUACAUAAUAUAUCUCUGGUUCCAUUAUCUCUUCUACAUACUCUAUAUCAGGUCCAUUAUCUCUUCUACAUACUCUACAUCUGGUCCAUUAUCUCUUCUGCAUACUCUAUAUCUGGUCCAUUAUCUCUUCUACAUAAUAUAUAUCUGGUCCAUUAUCUAUUCUACAUAAUAUAUAUCUGGUCCAUUAUCUCUUCUACAUACUCUACAUCUGGUCCAUUAUCUCUUCUGCAUACUCUAUAUCUGGUCCAUUAUCUCUUCUACAUACUCUAUAUCUGGUCCAUUAUCUCUUCUACAUACUCUAUAUCUGGCCCAUUAUCUCUUCCACAUACUCUAUAUCUGGUCCAUUAUCUCUCCUACAUACUCUAUAUCUGGUCCAUUAUCUCUUCUACAUAAUAUAUAUCUGGUCCAUUAUCUCUUCUACAUGCUCUAUAUCUGGUCCAUUAUCUCUUCUACAUACUCUAUAUCUGGUCCAUUAUCUCUUCUACAUAAUAUAUAUCUGGUCCAUUAUCUCUUCUACAUACUCUAUAUCUGGCCCAUUAUCUCUUCCACAUACUCUAUAUCUGGUCCAUUAUCUCUUCUACAUACUCUAUAUCUGGUACAUUAUCUCCUCUACAUACUCUAUAUCUGGUCCAUUAUCUAUAUCUGGUCCAUUAUCUCUUCUACAU